AUGAGAUUCAGAAGAGAACGCACACUUCCACGAACAAUAUAUCAUCGAAGAGAUAUGUGAAAAACACCUUGAGGAUUGGUUCUAAACAACGUUUACCAUGUUUCAGUCGAUAUUAUGGAGUUAAUUUGGAAAAAAGUUCGGCGUUUUGAUGACUGAAUUUUCGUAUUUUUUUUGGUAGCCAAACGUGACGCACCAAACGGAGCGAUUUCUCCUAAACAAAUAAUCUUUCAGGAAAAACUGAACAUUUGCUAUCUAACUGAGAGUCUCCUCAUUGAAAACAUCAGAAGUUCUUCAAAGCUGUACCUGAUCAGGAUGUUGCCGCUGACCACAAUGCCACUGGUAGAUGCAGUGAUGGCCUACAAACAAGAAAUUACCUCAUAAGGAGGAGAUUCACAUGACAAAAAGCUCCUCCUGCAACCUGCGCAGGACUGUGACCUACCCCAGGAGCAUCCUCUGGAAAGCCACCAUCUCCUCCACACCACCAAGCCUCCUUGUCUGGGGUGGCACUGGUUCGUACAUUAGGGUAUCAUGAUGGAUAAGGAUCCGAGACAGGCGCAUCUCUUCUGUGUCUUCAGUGAUAUCUGUUGAGAAAAUACAAUGAAUCCGCUAUGGAAAUGAUAUGUGUUGUAGGCCUAUUAUAGAAGAAUAAUAAACUUGUGAAAUUAGAAAUCAAACAAACACCUACCUCGGCUUGUUCUUCUGUCAUAUGAUCAUGAUGAUCCAUGGCUGCCACAUCUGAGCACAGAGGCAUAUGGAUGAGGUCUAGUGUUAUUUCUGGAAGGUCAGACACAUCAUGUCAGCAUGACAACAACAUUUCAAGAACCGUAGGCUGUUGAGAGAAGUAACAAGUGUAACGUUAGCUGCACGACUGGAUACUUUUGUAACCAUGAAUGUUUUCUUGCGCCACAGACACAGUUGGUUACUGG
Molecule: long non-coding RNA, 926 nt
Organism: Oncorhynchus tshawytscha (Chinook salmon)
Lineage: Eukaryota; Metazoa; Chordata; Actinopteri; Salmoniformes; Salmonidae
Source: Ensembl